GGCAUUUUUUCGAUAUCUCAUCAUCGUGACCGAUCGCCAGCACCAGCGCAUCUACGACAACCUGUAUAACACUACGGUGCCAACUGCGCAUGGAUCCGACACGAUGAACUCGUAAACAUUUGUCAAUUCACGCAUCGAUUUUCCUUCGUGUGCAAUGGAAUAUUAUCAUCGAAUAUUUUUAUUCUCCGCAGCUCAUAUAGAUUACAUUGAUUACAGCACAGACACAGCAAAAUUGAAGGUUUAUGGAUGCACUCUCAAUUAUGUUGAUUUGAUUUAAGCACUGAAGUUCGUUUCUCUACGAUAUAUUUUAUGUCAUAUAUAGUUAAAAUUGAGACGAAACCAUGCUUAGGCGGAAUGUUAGUAUCGGCGAUUAUCGUGACAACAAUAUUAAAGCCAUGGAAUUAUGUUGCUGAAGUGAUAUUUUAUGAUUAGAGUGAACUUCCGAU
Long non-coding RNA from Rhopalosiphum padi (bird cherry-oat aphid), 446 nucleotides. RefSeq lists it as uncharacterized. The transcript has 3 exons. The record is from RefSeq and is a predicted model, not a curated record. Lineage: Eukaryota; Metazoa; Arthropoda; Insecta; Hemiptera; Aphididae.